Molecule: ribosomal RNA, 449 nt
Filed under: uncultured bacterium
Lineage: Bacteria
Description: bacterial SSU rRNA
Rfam family: Bacterial small subunit ribosomal RNA
Source: RNAcentral
AACGAACGCUGGCGGCAUGCCUAACACAUGCAAGUCGAACGAGACCUUCGGGUCUAGUGGCGCACGGGUGCGUAACGCGUGGGAAUCUGCCCUGGGGUGCGGAAUAACUCGGAGAAAUCCGUGCUAAUACCGCAUAAUGUCUUCGGACCAAAGAUUUAUCGCCCUGGGAUGAGCCCGCGUAGGAUUAGCUAGUUGGUGGGUAAAGGCCCUACCAAGGCGACGAUCCUUAGCUGGUCUGAGAGGAUGAUCAGCCACACUGGGACUGAGACACGGCCCAGACUCCUACGGGAGGCAGCAGUGGGGAAUAUUGGACAAUGGGCGAAAGCCUGAUCCAGCAAUGCCGCGUGAGUGAUGAAGGCCCUAGGGUUGUAAAGCUCUUUUACCCGGGAUGAUAAUGACAGUACCGGAGAAUAAGCUCCGGCUAACUCCGUGCCAGCAGCCGCGGUAAU